This 60-nucleotide transfer RNA is filed under the name Mesorhizobium sp. Its description in RNAcentral is "tRNA-Thr". It matches the Rfam family "tRNA", at positions 7 to 64 of the family's 71-position model. Rfam says of the family: Transfer RNA (tRNA) molecules are approximately 80 nucleotides in length. Their secondary structure includes four short double-helical elements and three loops (D, anti-codon, and T loops). Lineage: Bacteria; Pseudomonadati; Pseudomonadota; Alphaproteobacteria; Hyphomicrobiales; Phyllobacteriaceae. The record is from RNAcentral.
AUGGCUCAGUUGGUAGAGCGCACCCUUGGUAAGGGUGAGGUCCCCAGUUCGACUCUGGGU